GACGAACCGUGCGAACGUUAUUCGGAAUCACUGGGCUUAAAGCGCGUGUAGGCGGUUGGGAACGUCGGUCGUUGAAAUCCCCCGGCUCAACCGGGGAAUGGGCGCCGAAACGACCCGUCUGGAGGGACGUAGGGGGACCUGGAACUUCCGGUGGAGCGGUGAAAUGCGUUGAGAUCGGAAGGAACGCCCGUGGCGAAAGCGAGGUCCUGGACGUCUACUGACGCUGAGACGCGAAAGCGAGGGGAGCGAACGGG
Molecule: ribosomal RNA, 254 nt
Filed under: uncultured bacterium
Lineage: Bacteria
Description: partial 16S ribosomal RNA
Rfam family: Bacterial small subunit ribosomal RNA
Source: RNAcentral